This 536-nucleotide ribosomal RNA is filed under the name uncultured bacterium. Its description in RNAcentral is "bacterial SSU rRNA". It matches the Rfam family "Bacterial small subunit ribosomal RNA", at positions 1 to 525 of the family's 1533-position model. The record is from RNAcentral.
UAGAGUUUGAUCAUGGCUCAGGAUGACCCCUGGCGGCGUGCCUAAUACAUGCAAGUCGAACGCACAGCGAACGGUGCUUGCACCUUUCAAGUGAGUGGCGAACGGGUGAGUAACACGUGGAUAACCUACCUCAAGGUUGGGGAUAACAUUUGGAAACAGAUGCUAAUACCGAAUAAAACUUCGUAUCGCAUGAUACAAGGUUAAAAGGCGCUACGGCGUCACCUAGAGAUGGAUCCGCGGUGCAUUAGUUAGUUGGUGGGGUAAAGGCCUACCAAGACAAUGAUGCAUAGCCGAGUUGAGAGACUGAUCGGCCACAUUGGGACUGAGACACGGCCCAAACUCCUACGGGAGGCUGCAGUAGGGAAUCUUCCACAAUGGGCGAAAGCCUGAUGGAGCAACGCCGCGUGUGUGAUGAAGGCUUUCGGGUCGUAAAGCACUGUUGUAUGGGAAGAACAGCUAGAGUAGGGAAUGACUUUAGUUUGACGGUACCAUACCAGAAAGGGACGGCUAAAUACGUGCCAGCAGCCGCGGUAAUA